This is a small nucleolar RNA of Polyodon spathula (Mississippi paddlefish), 107 nucleotides long. RefSeq annotates it as small nucleolar RNA SNORD46. The record is from RefSeq and is a predicted model, not a curated record. NCBI's taxonomy places the organism in Eukaryota, Metazoa, Chordata, Actinopteri, Acipenseriformes, Polyodontidae. The transcript has a single exon.
AAUGUGGAUGAUGAAAACGUGACCUUAGGCAGGUUUGUUUUGAUCGUUUUGGUCAAUGUCUCAAACCUGUCGAUGUUAGGCCUUGUCAUAGUUACACUGAUCACAUU